GAUCAUGGCUCAGGAUGAACGCUAGCUACAGGCUUAACACAUGCAAGUCGAGGGGCAGCAUGGUCAAAGCUUGCUUGAUUGAUGGCGACCGGCGCACGGGUGAGUAACGCGUAUCCAACCUUCCCUUAGUAGGGCAUAGCCCGGCGAAAGUCGGAUUAAUACCCUAUGUUGUGUCAUGAGGACAUCUGACUAACACUAAAGAUUUAUCGCUAAGGGAUGGGGAUGCGUCCGAUUAGCUUGCCGGCGGGGUAACGGCCCACCGGGGCGACGAUCGGUAGGGGUUCUGAGAGGAAGGUCCCCCACACUGGUACUGAGACACGGACCAGACUCCUACGGGAGGCAGCAGUGAGGAAUAUUGGUCAAUGGGCGAGAGCCUGAACCAGCCAAGUAGCGUGCAGGAUGACGGCCCUAUGGGUUGUAAACUGCUUUUAUGCGGGGAUAAAGUGACGUACGUGUACGUUUUUGUAGGUACCGCAUGAAUAAGGACCGGCUAAUUCCGUGCCAGCCGCUGC
RNAcentral lists this ribosomal RNA (512 nucleotides) under uncultured bacterium. RNAcentral's name for it is "bacterial SSU rRNA". It matches the Rfam family "Bacterial small subunit ribosomal RNA", at positions 15 to 518 of the family's 1533-position model. The record is from RNAcentral.